UAAUCUUUAACUCAAAAUAUAUCCGUGAUCCCAUAAAAAUCUGAAGAGAUAAUGUUUAACCCCCAACGUUUAUUGUUGAUCCCCAUGAAACACAGGUGUUAGCAAACUAAGAAAACAACUGAAACCACCAAAAAACAAGAGGAGCCUGAUGUUACACGUUUGAGAAGAGAAAGAGACAUGUAUCCCUUACUCUCUUCCUUAUUAGGUUUGGAAUUGAAAUUAGGAACUUUUUUAGGCUGCAUCUUUAAUUCUUUUCUUAAAUCUUUUAUGCUAUUUUUCAUGUUUGUUGAUUAUAAUUAAAAUUUUAAAAAAUAUGUUCAGUUUUUUAGGACUGGCAACGGCAACAGUCCACGAGGUCAUUAUCCAAUUGAAGGAUUUAGAUUUAUUCUUGUUUUCGCUAUAGGGACUUAGAGUGUAGUCAGUCACACAAUUUUAUUCUUAAUGAUAUCUGCCAUUAGAAAAGCACUUGGAGUAACGAGAGCAGGUGAUAGUGAUACCACUCAAUUUGCAGUUUGCAUUUCACUGAGUGGAAGUGUAAAAGCCAGAAAAUUAUUUAUCAACACCCACAUAUUAAUUUGAAGUAUCGUUUGUAUUAGGAUUCUAUCCAUUAUUUUCAGCUUUUAUUUUUUGGCUGGAGCUUUGCCAAGAAGUUGUUUGGAGCUGAUUAUUAGAAUAUUUAAAAAGAAAAAAAUUAAUGCUUCAUAAUCUCUAUUUAGCAUUUAUUUUGCUGUUUCUUUUAGGUUCUGGGAUAGAAAGAAUUAGAAUGCAUUUUUAUUUCAAUUUUAAAGUUUCAAAUUUUGUGUCGAUCUGAGAAAAUCUUUAUGAUAAUUUCCUUUAUAUAUGAGAAGCCCUCUAAUCUGCUGUGAAUGAAACCAUAGUUAAUGGAGGUGUAACCUUUUUGUCCUCGAAUUCUUGUGAAUGAGAUGAAAAAUUUAAGGAGCUGUUAGAGAAUGCAUAGAAGAUGCAUGAUACAGGUAUCUUUCAAAGUUCAUUUUCUUUAAUGCAAAGGAAAAGAGAAAGAACUCCUAAAAGAAAUAAUCCAAACGUGAUUGUUGUAUUUUGGCUGCAGCUUUGGCUAUGUAUUGGAGUAAUUACAUACUUUGUUGUGGUUAUGAUUUUGGAAGCUACUGUUAAAAGAGAUGAUAAUAUGUACAACAGGGAGGCAAAAUGAAGAAAAAGCCAAGCAAUACUUUAUACGUUUGAAGAAACUAACAACAUAGCUAAGUAAUGGUAGCUCUACUUACCAUCAAUUAGCAACACAAAUAGUGUGACAUAAAGUUUUCACUUCUCUGGAAUUUACUAUUGGUAAACUACAGGUAAGUUAGAUUUGUUGUUACGCAAGUUACUCCUUGGUCGAAAAAUAAAAAUACGCCAUGAUAUAUCACAUGUAAUGACGUUGAGAUUGCUUUGUGCAAUAUUUAUGCAUCUUGAGCUACUUAUCUUGGAUGAUUCGUUAUUAUGUCAUUCAUAUGCUUGGUUGAAACAGAGCAGGAGGUAGCACUUGAGGGCUUUGCCGGAGUAGUUCGUAUGGAACCUGAGAAGGCUGAGUGGUAAGGGGUUUAUUAAGUUAAUAAACUCCUUAUCAAAAAAAGUAUGAUAGCUGGUAUAUUGAUCAACUACUUCCCAUCUGUGUUUGCUUUAUAAAGAAAAUUGAGUUUUAUCUAUAGGAUUUAUGAUGUUGAAAAUUGGUGGAGUAUUGGAUGUUGAUGUUUUCUUAGUUAGAAAAAUUAGUUUGAUGAUUUUACACAAUUAGAUUAUAAGGCGAUAACAUUCUAUAUAAUUAACCCCAAUAUAUUCUUCUNN
Molecule: long non-coding RNA, 1803 nt
Filed under: Nicotiana tabacum (common tobacco)
Lineage: Eukaryota; Viridiplantae; Streptophyta; Magnoliopsida; Solanales; Solanaceae
Description: long non-coding RNA (NTAB_LNC006920)
Source: RNAcentral